UGUAAUCGAUCCUAUAUCCGAAGCAUAUGGGACACGAUUCAUGAUGUCUUACAUAAAGACUAAACCAGUCUUUUGCUAUAAUAUUUCCAUUUCAAUUUGCCAAGUUCUCAUAAUUCAGAUUAUGAAAAGGGAUGCCGUAAUCAUAAUCGAAUUUUAGAACGCAAAUAAUGGACCCAUAUACAGAAUUUCCUUAUGUUGAGCCAUUCCAACAUGAAAUUCAUAUAUAUCCUUGACUAAAUGAUUAAAACCUCACGAUCUAAGCUUAUAGAUUUGAGAUGAAGCAUAAUUUCCUCUCCCUUAAUUAUAGCAAAACAACUUUUUCCCAAUUGAAACUUUUGUUUUCUAUAAUUAACAUUGCUAACUUGCAAUACUUAUCAUAAUUAUCAUGCUCCCACUAACAUGAUGAUUAUUAGCAUAACACUUAUGCUCCCACUAGCUUUGACAUGUACUCAGAAAUCAGCUGGACAGUCUGAAAUUUAGAUUCAUACACCCUUUCCGUAGAUAGCUCACCUGUGUGUCUAAGCAAUUUCAAGAACCAUGAAAAGGGAUACCGUAAUCAUGGUCUCAAUUGCUUAGGCAUUUGCCAUUUCUCACAAGUCCAUGUUAGUGUGCCGGUUAACCACACGCGCUCCACUAACGACUUUUGAAAAUGCAAAUAACACAAUUGAUAUCUUCGUAAAAUCUACUUAGUGAAAGCGUUUCCUCACCAUCAUUUUCAUGAAUCGGAGAGAAACCUUAUGACACUUAGAUUUAUAUGGUGUAUGAGUUCCUACCCAUAUGAAUUUGUCAAACCAUAAUCACAAGACAAAGAUAAUGACAAAUCCAAAACCAUAUGGAUUGAACUCAAUCUUAACUUCUUGCCACCUGGCAGCUCAAGGGCCUGCCAUUGCUUCCAAGUUGUUAUGCAACAAACUGAGAACUCUAAGAACUCAUAUGCAAAGCCAACUUUAACUGGAAUGGGCACAGAUAUGUCAACACGAUAGGUUAUAAACCUCAAGUCGUGUGCUAGUGAAGAACUUUAGGUUUUAUUCUUGAUUAUUUCUUGAGACUUUCAAGACCUUUAAGACUCCCACUGUCCUCUUGACAUAUAAGACUCCCUUGUCAAACAUCCAAGAGAUAGUGCGGAUUCUAAUCAAGAAAAACACUUUACCCAAUUGGCCUAAGUUGGUCUUUGUUUUAUCCAAAACAUCACAACUUACCAAUUUCAAAUGUACAAGAGUAGAAAACUUUUACUCUUACAUUUGACAAGUGUUUUAAACCUUCUUUAAGACAUGUCACUCAAAUGACAAUCUUGGAGUAUGACUCUAAGACUUGUAUUGGAACGAAGUAUGACUCAUCUUCUUGAUUUAACCAUUUCAACAAUUCAAGUUCCUCUUCUUAGUCAUAAGAAUGCACUAAGAUUUCCUUAGAGAACUAAUUUUGAUAUGGUUUCUUAAUCAUUAAGAUGAUCACAAAACUGAUACUAAAGUACUCUCCCAUCUUUUCAGAUUUGAGAAACUUUUAUCCUUCUGCCUUAUUUGAUUCUUCUUAUCGAUCUUUAGUGGUGGACUUAAUCAGUGCACAAGAAUGUGUACUCGAUCCCUAAGUCCUUUACUUGACUCACACAUCCAUGUGAACAAGUAAUUAGUCUUAAUUUUCCAAAACUUGAAAGUUCUCAUUCAUCAUGCUAUACAACUUGCAUGAUUCCAAGUUCCGGUCCAAUUGAAACUUGGGUGAUGAGAAUCUUUCCUUAUUUGGUAAAUUUAGACAUUACCACAAAUGAAAGAAUCAAUUUCAUAUUUCCACUCUUGCUCUUAAUGGAAUCAUAUAAGCAACAAUUUUUCCUCAAAUGCCAUUGUAAGGAUAUUUUAAAAUAAAUAAAAUCAAAAAAAUUUUCUUUUAUUUUAAAACUUUGCGGAAAAACUUAUCCUUACAAUCCAUAUGAAAACUUGUUGUUAUCUAUUCCUAAGCAAUAUCUCAUAACUCCUAAGAAGUAGCUCAAGAAUCCGAUCUUCAAACUAUGCGAUAGAAAUCCAUCUACGCCAUCAGAUUCAGCAUAUUCUUUCUUUAAGUUUCUUCACUUUUCUUUGAUUCUUAAAACAUCACCAUGUGACCCAGUCACAUCAUGUAUCAAGAAUCUCAGAAUAGAAACUUAACAGAGUUAGAUAGUGGACUUUACCUGAAGUAGAGUCAAACUUAUUGACUUUAACAUCCUUAGGUAAAUUUGGCAGCUUCGCAACCAAUGCCCCUUCCUUUGGCAAUAUAAACAUAUGGACCCUUUGAUAAUGGUACACGGGACUAUCACAGACUUAGCUUUUCUCUUUACCAUUUGGUCAACCGAGUUGACUAUGGCCGAUCCCUUUCCAUUGGGAAGAGAAUGCUUUACUGGAUAUCCAAUGUCAUCAUUGUCAAUGUCCAUAAAGUUUUAGGAAGUUGAUCUUAGCAAAUAGAUAAGAUCAUUAAGGGUCUUGUCAUAGUCUGUUUCAUAGGUGUCCCAAAGGAACUCACUAUGUGACUUAGAAAGUGGUUGAACCACCAACUUUCUCAAGACUUUGACACCCAACUCUCCCGGCUUGUCAAUAUGUGACUACAUCUCCAAGAUGUGACCACACCUAGACCUUGCCUUGCCAAUAGGGCCUGAGUGACCUUAAACUUUUCAAGAACUUGUGGGUUAGGGAGAAUAAUUUGAAGAGGUGAAGAAGUAUGAUAUCCAUGGGACAUCAUCUUCAUUAGGAAACCUUGUUUCAAGAGAUUUGGGAAGAUCAUAGGUGUCUAAACCAGACAUCUUUUGGGAGAUAUUCAAGAUAGUUGAUUUAAAGUCCUUAAUAUGACACCCAAUAUGAAAUAUUAAGGCUAGGACCCAACAAACUAUUUUAUAACUUAGAAGAGGUAUGCCGUAAUCCAAGCUAUAAAAUAUUUGAAGGUAGGUGAAUGACGAUUCACCAAUUUCCACCAAGAUAAACGAAAUGUAUUAUUAGGUUUUAAUUGGUUUUGAAACUCCUAGAUCUUUGAGAUUCAUUGAACUUUUCAAAGGCAUGUUUCAAUCUCGAGUGUGCCCUUCAGGUUUUGUGACUGGGAUGCCGAGGAUCACAAAACAAGGUGUGAAGUAACCAUGCAAAUCACUUGGUACCCUUAAUAAAUUACCCCUCAAUCGAUGUGCCGGUUAACCACACACGCUCCAUCGAUACUAUGAUAAAUAUUAAGUCACCCUUUACCUACCUUGUUAAGUCCAAGUUAGUGUGCCGGUUAACCACACACGCUCCACUAACGACUUAGACAAAGUGUAAAGUGUAAUUUCAUGGAUUAGCACCUUAUUCACAUUUUUCCUAAGUAACUAAGAUUGGGUAUUAUUAAGAGUUUAGUUACUUAGUAUUAUCAUUAAUACUUUUAAUGAAGGGAGAAUUCUAGUCCUGUCAAACCCGUUCGGCUAACGACCCUCCACCAGUCAAGCAAGCGGUGGGUGAGAGUGGACACCCAUUAAGUUGCCAUUUUAUAGGCAACAACCUUAUACCCACCUUAUAGACCGGCUUCGUGAAUGAGGCGUACUAGCGGUAAGACUGACUUUACUCUUAUACAUAUAUAUAUUAUUAACUUAUAAUAUUAUAAAGUAUAAGGGUUGAAUUUUAACUUUUAAAAUUCUAAGGGCUAACUUGGAAUUAAAGUAUUCAUACUUGAAAACUUUUCAAAUUCCAAAACUUGAGGGCAAGUUUUGAAACUAUUCAAAACUAAUUAAUUCCAUAACUUAUGUGUUUAAAGUAGUUUUAAUCCAAAAACUCUUCAAGUUCCAUAACUUGAGGACAAGUUAUGGAAGACUUUAAACUAAUAAAAGAACUAACUUUUUCUUUAUUUUAUAACUUAUGGAUUUAAUUAUGGUUACAUAUUUUUCUUUAAUGAAGUGACUCUUGAACUUCCAUAACUUGAGGACAAGUUAUGGAGUCAAAAAAAAUUAUUCAAUGACACAAGACUCUUCAUUUUGUAACCAUUGCCAACUUUUAUGAGUUUUAUGAGUCUUUAAUGUGACUCUUCAUGUAACUUGAGGACAAGUUACACAAACACAUUUUAUACUCAACUCUUAGAUUAAAAUGGAUUGAAAACAACUAUUUCACUCAACAUUUCUAUUAAUCUAAGCAACUCAUAAGAACAAGAUAAUUCAAAUCAAACUUUUUCAUGUAAUUAGUCUAAACCUUAAACUAAUACAAAACAUGAAUCUAUUGACAAUUAUCUUUGAAAAUGGAUUAGCAUGAACAUUACCACAUCAAAAACAAGUUUAUAAGUUCAAAAACAACUUAGGGUAAUGUUCCUAGUCCAUUUCUAGCCAAAAAACUCGAAAAUAUGCUGUCUGGGGGUCCAACUCGUCGAGUGCAUGAACAAACUCGGCGAGUUGGAUCGAAUUCAUCACUUUUUAGGCAUGGACUCGUCGAGUCUCCUGAUGGACUCGCCGAGUCUGAUGGCCAGACAGCACCAGAUUCGUUUUUUCAGCUUCUAUUGCAGGUAUAACAAGAAAACAAGCCUAGGCUCUGAUACCACUGUUGGGUUUUGAGCAUUCUAACACUCCUAAGUGUACAUGCAACCCUAAAUACCUUGGAUCUAUGUUUUCUCUAUUAUACAUGCAAAUAAGAACUUCCAAGGUAUUAUCCUAAUCUAGCAUACAAAACAAUGACUAUAACAAGAUAGAAUACAUACCUCUUUGAUGUAGAAAGUCUUCAUGAAGCUUGAGUGCCUAGUGCCCCAAGUGUGACACCUCAAAUGGAAUCACAAUCAUCAAAACACUUGGAAUGACUUGAGAGAAUUCUACACUCUUCAAAAUCGGCUAGCCCUUUCUUCACUAUCACUAGUGGCCGAUUUUUCCUCAAUAAUAAGAUGCUUAUAUAGUUACACAAUUAGGGUAAACUCUUAAUUGUCAUGGCUUUCCAUUUCCUUGGAUCCAUGGGUACAAAUACACCAUGGAGCAUCCAUGGACCAUCCUAUGGGUUUUAGCCCAACUUGAUUAUCCAUGGAGCAUUAGCCCACUAUACAAGUAUGGAUGAUUUACACAAUCAACCCAUAUAUUUAAUUAGUCUUCUUUUGAUCACUUAAUUAAUCCUAGAUUAAUUCUUGAUCAAUACUAAUUAAAUAAUCUUAUUAUUCUUAUUAUUAAUAUACUAGAACUUAUAAUAUAUUAAUAACCAUAAGUGUCUUAUUUCUCUCAUUAUAGUCUAUCCAAGUGCAUGAUGGUAUGCAACCCAAAUGGACCAUGCCGGGUCGGGUCAAGUCUUACCAAUUAUAGUUAUGGACUUAGACAUUAAUCCAACAGUCUCCCACUUGGAUAAGUCUAAAACUAUUAUUGCGUAUGACUUCAGGAACCAACUGGCAAUCGUAGCUCUCAAAAGCUUCUGUCGAACUCUGACCUUGUAGAUGAACUCUGACCUUUGUCAAUGACUUGUCCAUUAGAUAAGGGAUCAUAUAUUCCUCCAUUCUAGAUAUCAUAUGGACUGAGACAUGGAUUAUAAUCAUUCUCUCUGUCCAUUUGUUGUUUCCCGAUUUCCGAUUUAUGACGACUGACUAAUUGAACAAAUCAAAUCAGUCCUGGCCCGGCCGAGCACUUCCAUUUGUCAUCAUCAAAUCAUCGAGGGGCCCACAGAUAUCGCUUUUAUCCCGAAGGUAAAAGGAACGGAUAAACUUCGACUCAUAUGGCUUGUUCUACUACUUGUUGAAUCAUACACAAAGGCACGUUUUAUAGCACCGAGUUACCAAAUGCGUUUUCGUGCAAUCAAUGUACUAUCAACUCAUAGUAACAACUCAUAUCUCUAGGUUUGAAGAAUAUAAGAUAUUAUCGUCUCAUGAUCACUCGUGAUAAAAUCCAUGAAGUGAUUCCAAUGAGCGCGGGUUGAAUCCAAUACUCAGAACUUAUGAGCACUCAUGAGUGUUGUAGCCCUUUGUCCAACACCUUAGACCUCUACAAGCCAACCCAUGACAGUCUUAAUUCAUAUCUACUUCCAACAUAUGACCGACUGUGGAUGGUUUGAAUAACUUAGUCAUUCCGGAAGAAUAACCCAGUUUAUUCGGGAAGUCAAAACAUGCAAAAUGAAACACAAUAAUAAUUGAAUCCAAUAUGGUAUCAACCCUUUGAACAUAAAUAAAACACCUUUUAUUUAUCACCAUAUGAUUACACAUUAUUCAUUGUAUACUGUUUCAGCUAUCAACUUUAUUCUUGAAUUUAAAACAAUAGUUGUCCCAUGCUCCAAGCAUGUACACUAUGUUUUCUUAAACACUAGUCAUGCCACACACCAAGUAUGCAUACUAUGUUUGUCUAUGAUCUUUACUUUGUGAACUAGAUCAAUUGAACAUAACUUCAAUGAUUCUCUUUUCACACUCCCAAAUCCUUACUGCAAAUGCAAGAAUUCCAAAUUCAUGCCAUUUACUGAAAUCUGUUAGAUUCUAAACUUAUAUGCAUUGAUCCUCUUGUAAUGAUUAUGCACAAAGUCACAAAGACUUGGCAACAAUCAUUACAGAGUAUUCCAAAGGAGAUCAACUCCUUGGAAAUAUCCUUCUUGCAUUAAGUUUCCUUAAUCUUACACAGAUUGAAAAUUCUAACUUUGAAACAUUUCCAGAUUCCAUUUUGACUAUCACUUCUGAACAAGAGUUGCCUCCUUACAGAUUAUGUCAAUAUGGUCCUUCCAGAAUUAUCACUAUACUUCCAACUGUCCUUGAGCAACCAAUCUUUGGUAAACCUUAGAUUGUCCUCGACAAUUGUUUAAUCCUUUUAGUCAUAUCCAGUUCUAAACCUUUUCCCUUCUUAAUGCCCCAGGCAUUUGGAAAAUUUUAGAACGGAUGAAUAUAGCACAUGUAAUCGAUCCUAUAUCCGAAGCAUAUGGGACACGAUUCAUGAUGUCUCACAUAAAGACUAAACCAGUCUUUUGCUAUAAUAUUUCCAUUUCAAUUUGCCAAGUUCUCAUAAUUCAGAUUAUGAAAAGGGAUGCCGUAAUCAUAAUCGAAUUUUAGAACGCAAAUAAUGGACCCAUAUACAGAAUUUCCUUAUGUUGAGCCAUUCCAACAUGAAAUUCAUAUAUAUCCUUGACUAAAUGAUUAAAACCUCACGAUCUAAGCUUAUAGAUUUGAGAUGAAGUAUAAUUUCCUCUCCCUUAAUUAUAGCAAAACAACUCUUUCCCAGUUGAAACUUUUGUUUUCUAUAAUUAACAUUGCUAACUUGCAACCUUUAUCAUAAUUAUCAUGCUCCCACUAACAUGAUGAUUAUUAGCAUAACACUUAUGCUCCCACUAGCUUUGACAUAUACUCAGAAAUCAGCUGACUUUCUUACCAAAGUUCAGAUUUCUGAUACUAGAUUGUUUUGAUAAAACUUUAUCAAAAUCAUACACCUCUUUUAGAUAGCUCACAGGUGUGUCUAAACAAUUUUAGAACUAUGAAAAGGGAUGCCGUAAUCAUAGUCUCAAUUGUUUAGACCUUUUUGCCACUUCUCACAAGUCCAUGUUAGUGUGCCGGUUAACCACACAGCUCCACUAACGACUUUGAGAAUGCAAAUAUCACAAUUGUUAUCUACUUCAAAUCUACUUGGUGGAAGUGUUUCCUCACCAUCAUUUUCAUGAAUCGGAGAGAAACCUUAUGACCCUUAGAUUUAAUGGUGUAUGUGUUCUUAUCCAUGUGAAUUGUCAAAACCAUAGUCACAAGACAAGGAUAAUGACAAAUCCA
RNAcentral lists this long non-coding RNA (7665 nucleotides) under Lactuca sativa (garden lettuce). RNAcentral describes it as "long non-coding RNA (LSAT_LNC008594)". The record is from RNAcentral. Lineage: Eukaryota; Viridiplantae; Streptophyta; Magnoliopsida; Asterales; Asteraceae.